Molecule: long non-coding RNA, 226 nt
Filed under: Felis catus (domestic cat)
Lineage: Eukaryota; Metazoa; Chordata; Mammalia; Carnivora; Felidae
Description: lncRNA (ENSFCAG00000048670.1)
Source: RNAcentral
CUCCUCCUACCACAAAUUCUGUUGCUUUGGAAAGAAGCCAGGAAAUCUCUCUGUGUGUGUCUCUCUCUCCCUCUUCUGCUUUAGCAUGCACUGUAUUGUAAAACAUUGACUUGUCACCUAAGAGGAGGUUUUAUCAGAUGGCAAAGACCUCAAGACCAUUAAAUUUGGUGUUGAAUCUAACAACAUCCCCAGUAAACAGUGAGUGACAAUACUGAACUGAAGAACC